This is a long non-coding RNA of Hibiscus syriacus, 152 nucleotides long. RefSeq lists it as uncharacterized. The transcript has 3 exons. The record is from RefSeq and is a predicted model, not a curated record. Lineage: Eukaryota; Viridiplantae; Streptophyta; Magnoliopsida; Malvales; Malvaceae.
UAUAAUAUUUGAAUAUAUGAAAAAGGCUACUGGACUUCAUUGAAAAGCAAGAUGAAAACAACCACACAUCUCAGUAAACAAAUUAUUCAAUUGAGGUUUAGUGAAUUAACCAGUAAAUAAUCAGCUCUGAUUUUACAGUUUCAUGAUUCUAA